This 428-nucleotide ribosomal RNA is filed under the name uncultured bacterium. RNAcentral describes it as "partial 16S ribosomal RNA". It matches the Rfam family "Bacterial small subunit ribosomal RNA", at positions 354 to 796 of the family's 1533-position model. The record is from RNAcentral.
GUGGGGAAUAUUGGGCAAUGGGCGGAAGCCUGACCCAGCGACGCCGCGUGGGGGAAGAAGUCUUUCGGGAUGUAAACCCUUGUUGUACGGGACGAAGGAAGUGACGGUACCGUACGAGGAAGCCCCGGCAAACUACGUGCCAGCAGCCGCGGUAAUACGUAGGGGGCGAGCGUUGUCCGGAAUCACUGGGCGUAAAGCGCACGUAGGCGGGCUGUCAAGUCGGCCGUGAAAGGCACGGGCUCAACCUGUGCAUGUCGGUCGAUACUGGCGGUCUGGAGUAUGGGAGAGGGAACUGGAAUUCCCGGUGUAGCGGUGAAAUGCGUAGAUAUUGGGAAGAACACCGGUGGCGAAGGCGACUUGCUGGCCAGCAACUGACGCUGAGGCGCGAAAGCCAGGGGAGCAAACGGGAUUAGAAACCCUUGUAGUCC